Molecule: non-coding RNA, 45 nt
Filed under: Schistosoma margrebowiei
Lineage: Eukaryota; Metazoa; Platyhelminthes; Trematoda; Strigeidida; Schistosomatidae
Source: RNAcentral
AUCCAGAUGAUGAGUAUCAAACGGAACGAAACGCGUGUCCUGGAU